Molecule: transfer RNA, 72 nt
Filed under: Camelus bactrianus (Bactrian camel)
Lineage: Eukaryota; Metazoa; Chordata; Mammalia; Artiodactyla; Camelidae
Also listed under: 2 other names
Rfam family: tRNA
About the family: Transfer RNA (tRNA) molecules are approximately 80 nucleotides in length. Their secondary structure includes four short double-helical elements and three loops (D, anti-codon, and T loops). Further hydrogen bonds mediate the characteristic L-shaped molecular structure. tRNAs have two regions of fundamental functional importance: the anti-codon, which is responsible for specific mRNA codon recognition, and the 3' end, to which the tRNAs corresponding amino acid is attached (by aminoacyl-tRNA synthetases). tRNAs cope with the degeneracy of the genetic code in two manners: having more than one tRNA (with a specific anti-codon) for a particular amino acid; and 'wobble' base-pairing, i.e. permitting non-standard base-pairing at the 3rd anti-codon position.
Source: Rfam by way of RNAcentral
GGAGGUGUAGCUCAGUGGUAGGGUGUGCACUUAGCAUGCACGAGGGUCUAGAUUCAAUCCCCUGUACCUCCA